GAACGAUACAAUAAGAAAUGAGAUCAAAAUAAACAUGAGAAUAUAACUUUUCAUUAUUAAUGAUUCAAAAUACGAACAACAAAUUUUUUUACCAUUAACACGACAUAUUUAGUUGCAUAGAUUAUGAUGAUGAUUGAUGGUUUGAACCACCUUCGGCCAUCUCAAAUUCGCAGAUAAAUUGGCUCUAUUUAAUUCCUAAAUGUUAGAGCACAUGUGACAAUCUUGGGCUUAGAGAAAUAAGCAUACUUUCAUCAAUUCUCAUGACACGUGUAUGAAAGCAAAAACAAGCUAUGUAUAGUCAAUAUAAAGAAUGGUUCAAUAAAGUCCUAUAAAGAAUGGUUCAAACCAUCAUAUGACCUAGGUAAUUUAGCCUUUGUCAUUG
RNAcentral lists this long non-coding RNA (382 nucleotides) under Olea europaea subsp. europaea. Lineage: Eukaryota; Viridiplantae; Streptophyta; Magnoliopsida; Lamiales; Oleaceae. The record is from RNAcentral.